GUGCCAGCAGCCGCGGUAAGACAGGGGAUACAAGCGUUACUCGGAAUCACUGGGCGUAAAGCGUCUGUAGGUGCCGAAGAAAGUCUGUGGUAAAAGUCCGGGGCUUAACCCCGGGAGCGUCAUGGAAACUUCUUCGGUUGAGCAGUGGAGAGGCAUCUGGAAUGUCGCAUGUAGGAGUAAAAUCCGUAGAUAUGCGAUGGAACGCCAAAAGCGAAGGCAGGAUGCUGGCCACUUGCUGACACUGAGAGACGAAAGCGUGGGGAGCGAAGGGGAUUAGAUACCCCCGUAGUCC
This 292-nucleotide ribosomal RNA is filed under the name uncultured bacterium. RNAcentral describes it as "partial 16S ribosomal RNA". It matches the Rfam family "Bacterial small subunit ribosomal RNA", at positions 505 to 796 of the family's 1533-position model. The record is from RNAcentral.